ACGUAUUUUACUAUUUAUUUAGAUUUUGUUAGAAUUAUCUCCCCUGUUGCGCUCUUCUGUAGAGAAGGUAGAUAUUGAUUAUGUUUACGAAGUUAUCUAAUCGUUUUAGGCAUAAAUUAUAAGUGAUUUGAAGAAAAUUGUCCUUUCCUGUGAAUAUAAUUUGUUACGUAUAUACUAGUGGCCUAUGUAAAAAUUACAUAAAAAAUUAUGAAAUGCAUCGGGAUCGAUAUACGGUUCCGUAACCCAUGUUAAACAUUAUGGUAUACUGCGACGUUUUGUAGUUAAGUACGUCCUCAGAAAAAGAUUCAGGUGCGUGAAUUGUCAACGAGUCUUCAGAUUCUGACUCUUAUUUUGAUGAAUACGAUUCUGACAGCGAACAUUCAUUUGGUAGCGAGACGGAUGUAGUGAUGAUGGUCCCGUGAUGAUGAUACCGAAUCAACAAUGUUUGAAUUUGAAAAAGAAACAGAUUAUUCAAAUUCAUUUCCCUGGUUAGGGCUGGGCUUUACAAUGGGAUAUUCAGCUAUGGAGCUAUAAAGAAUUACAACAUAGGGUUUCCAAUGUAGUUUUGUGAACAGAAUCCAGAAAUAAGAAGAGGAGAGACAAUGUAGCAUAAGCAUUAACAAUUACUUGCCACUGCUGAGAAAAUGGUACAUGCUUUGAGUACUACUUUUGUGUAUUUGGAGACAGUCCAGUUCUUCUUUAAAGCAGGAGUGGAAAUUUCAGUGCUUGUUCAAUUUCUCCAGAAGGUAUUGGAUGCUCCAUAGGAAGAAAAUGGGGUCAUACUGAACAGAAUAGUUUGGAUACACCUUAUAGAUUUUAAAAGCUUGAGACCUCAAGAUCAACCCUAAUGGUGUACCAAACAUGAAGAAAAAAAGACAGUUUAUGAUUGAAGAAGUGUAGUAGCCAAAAUUUCAGGGUAUUUCAUAUAUGUUAACUUAUAAGAUUUUAUUGGUACAUGUACUUAAACAUUGUUAACAUCUUGAUAUUUAAUAUGUAUCAGGUUUCACUUGCAGGAAUACACAAAAAUUCAGAGUAAAUUUUAGGUGUUUGUUAUGUUAGAAAAGAUCAAAGUUCAAGGUCAGCAGUGCUUUAGUUUUACCAAAUAUAACACUAUUAUUAAGACUAAUUUCCUGUAUGCAGGUAAAGCAAAUAAUUCAGAAUAUGAUUUGGGAAACUGUGAUUUUUUCUUUUAAAUCUUAUCUUAAUUUAGAACCAUGAUGUAUGCUUAAGCAAGUAGAUUUUUUUCAAGCAUACAAAAUUUCAAGGUCAUUUUAAUUUUGGAAGUGAAUAUAAAAUAUCAGGAAGCAGUCAAGCAUUGUAAUUUUUUG
Saccostrea cuccullata (small rock oyster) is the source of this 1328-nucleotide long non-coding RNA. RefSeq lists it as uncharacterized. NCBI's taxonomy places the organism in Eukaryota, Metazoa, Mollusca, Bivalvia, Ostreida, Ostreidae. The transcript has 3 exons. The record is from RefSeq and is a predicted model, not a curated record.